This 373-nucleotide ribosomal RNA is filed under the name uncultured organism. Its description in RNAcentral is "partial 16S ribosomal RNA". It matches the Rfam family "Bacterial small subunit ribosomal RNA", at positions 527 to 896 of the family's 1533-position model. The record is from RNAcentral.
GAGGGGUGCAAACGUUAUUCGGAUUUACUGGGUGUAAAGGGUGUGUAGACGGGUUGUUAAGUUCGUUGUUAAAUCUUCCGGCCUAACCGGAAGCUCGCAAUGGAAACUGGCAAUCUAGAGGAUGGAAGAGAGAAGUGGAAUUCUCGGAGUAGCGGUAAAAUGCGUAGAUCUCGAGAGGAACACCGAUGGCGAAGGCAGCUUCUUGGUCCAUUCCUGACGUUGAGACACGAAAGCGUGGGGAGCAAACAGGAUUAGAUACCCUGGUAGUCCACGCUGUAAACGAUGAUCACUAGAUGUUGGCUCUGUUUUUGCAGAGUUAGUAUCGAAGCUAACGCGUUAAGUGAUCCACCUGGGAACUACGAUCGCAAGAUUA